GUCGUUCAUGUCAUUGAAUUCUUGGUUGGCGAACACAUCGAACUCGACCCCAAAAACAUGGUUGCUGAAUUUAGCAUCAUUCGUCCGAUUAAACAAGCCUAAAUUUUGGGAUGAGCUAGUACCAUCGAUCCCAGUAAGUGGGACGAAAAUGAAAACCAAGCCAUGUCCUGGGAGAACAUUCUCGUACGGAGCCAUAGCAAAAAUGAAAGAAGUAGAGAAUGGAUAGAAAUAAGAGGAAUUAGGAGCUCUGGUAGGUAUUUUUGAUGGGUAUAGAGCACGACCAACUGCGAAAGG
This 294-nucleotide unclassified non-coding RNA is filed under the name Hevea brasiliensis (rubber tree). Lineage: Eukaryota; Viridiplantae; Streptophyta; Magnoliopsida; Malpighiales; Euphorbiaceae. The record is from RNAcentral.